CCUACGGGAGGCUGCAGUGGGGAAUAUUGCGCAAUGGGCGAAAGCCUGACGCAGCGACGCCGCGUGAGGGAUGAAGGUCUUCGGAUCGUAAACCUCUGUCAGCAGGGAAGAACGGUCACUGUGCUAAUCAGCAGUGAAUUGACGGUACCUGCAAAGGAAGCACCGGCUAACUCCGUGCCAGCAGCCGCGGUAAUACGGAGGGUGCGAGCGUUAAUCGGAAUUACUGGGCGUAAAGCGCUCGUAGGCGGUAUGUCAAGUCAAUGGUGAAAUCCCCGGGCUCAACGUUGGAACUGCCUUUGAAACUGGCAGACUGGAGUGUGUGAGAGGAUAGUGGAAUUCCAGGUGUAGGAGUGAAAUCCGUAGAUAUCUGGAGGAACAUCAGUGGCGAAGGCGACUAUCUGGCACAUAACUGACGCUGAGGAGCGAAAGCGUGGGUAGCAAACAGGAUUAGAUACCCGAGUAGUC
Molecule: ribosomal RNA, 465 nt
Filed under: uncultured bacterium
Lineage: Bacteria
Description: partial 16S ribosomal RNA
Rfam family: Bacterial small subunit ribosomal RNA
Source: RNAcentral